RNAcentral lists this ribosomal RNA (253 nucleotides) under uncultured bacterium. RNAcentral's name for it is "partial 16S ribosomal RNA". It matches the Rfam family "Bacterial small subunit ribosomal RNA", at positions 524 to 776 of the family's 1533-position model. The record is from RNAcentral.
UACGUAGGUGGCAAGCGUUGUCCGGAUUUACUGGGCGUAAAGCGCGCGCAGGCGGUUCGGUACGUCCGGCGUGAAAGCUCCCGGCUCAACUGGGAGAGGGCGUUGGAUACGGCCGGACUGGAGGGCGGUAGAGGUCGGUGGAAUUCCCGGUGUAGUGGUGAAAUGCGCAGAUAUCGGGAGGAACACCAAUGGCGAAGGCAGCUCGCUGGGACGUUACUGACGCUGAGACGCGAAAGCGUGGGGAGCAAACUGG